UCGUUCAGGAAUUGAUCAGCAGAAUAUGGCCAGCACAAGAAAGGAAUGCCAUUGCUGACACCUUCCAUGGUGGAAUUCCAACCACAAUGGCUCAGGAAACAGGCAAUAGAAGGGUGGUUAAGAACCUUCUGCUGAGGUGCCCAGCUGAUCAUCUGUCCUCGAGCAGCAACUCUCUCUUGAAAUCCUUCUGGGUAUCUAUCAUUUGCAUCAGUAGUAAUAUCUGGCCUCACAACCCAUAAAAAUGGUCUGUUGCAAAGUUCUAGUCCCAAUGCUAAUUCUUGAAACUGAACUUGGUCAAGAAUUGUAAGGCUGCCAAAAGCAGCAUAAAUGACAGAGCUUGGUUGCUGUUGGUCUAGCCAUUUCAAACAGUUUGAAUCUUCGCGCCAGAAGUAUCCUGCUGAAUUCCCUUGGCGGUUGCUUGCUAUAAGUGGUCCUAUUGGCAGAAGUUCCGGAAACAUGGUGAAUGCUUCAGACUCGAGCUCAUAUGUUGAGUUACAAAAGUGGAAAUUUACCGCCAUCAUUGCUCUCCUGUUUCUUUCCAGUAAAUCAAAAAAAAUCUUUUGCGUGGUCAAGUCACCAAUAUGUGCCCAAAAACAGUCUCUAGAGUUCAUUUCAGGCAUCUUUGGUGCAAUUCGAAACAUCUGCAUGCUCAUAGGAGUUCCUGAAGUUGAAUACAAAACAAAGAAAAUAACAGUAGCAUAAAGUAAACUACUACUAUGACAUGCAUCAAAAUUAAAGUUUGCUGGAGGAAAGUAAAGAAUUAAAUGACAUGGAAUUAUACCGUGACUGUCAAUGAUUCCAUCAUCAAUAAGUUUGGGGAUACAAAAUACCAAUGCCACUAAUGCUGCUGAUGAAGACCAAAAGACAGCCCCCCUGACGUUCAUCUUUUUUGCUACCUCCAAAGACCAACCCAUGUUCCCAUCUGCAAUGAAACAAUCAAUUUUUUCAUCUUCUCUACUGUUGAUCUCUUCUAUGAGCUUCUCCAGCUUCCCCGGCAUAACCUGUAAAAAAUUUUCAAUUAGCUUUCCGAAAUCGUUUCUAUCUUCCCAGGGUUCCAUCCCAUCUGGGAUCGAAACCAAACGGAUUUGCUCCUCUAGAUAAUUCUUUCCCUGCAAUGAUUCCACUACCCGCUUGUGAUAAUAAUCCGUAUUAACGAAUGUGACUCGGAAGCCAUGUUUUGCCAGACAUUGUGAAAACUCCAGUAAAGGAAUUACAUGGCCUUGUGCUGGACCAGGCAUCACCAAAACGUGUGGGCUGCUCAUUUCCUUUUUUAUUUUUACCUCACUGGUUUGGUUUCUAUCAACCUUGUGCUUUUAUAGGGAUUGUGAGGAGCAGCUCAGCAGCCCAUGUUCGGUUUUCUGUCUUUCUUUUCGUACAAGUAGUAUGUUAUAUGUGUUUAAUUUUGAACCUCAAGCUGGUUAGUGGUUAUCUUCUUAUCUCCCGUUUUUAAGUUCUUUUUGUUCACCCCUUUGUUUUGUUUCCUUCUGCGGUUUGGGUGAUAUGUUUGCUUUUGAACAAACUGCGCCGUUAGAUCCAACGUUUAAAGCAGGAUGCUCGGCUCCAACUUUUCUGGACCCCAAUUUUUAAUGCUCUGUCUACAAUAACUUUUCUGGUUAGUGGUUAUCUUCUUAUCUAUGGUACAGAUUCUGUAACGAACAUCUCCCGUCAUCCCACCAUCCCAUUUUGUAUUGUUUAGUUUCUCACUCCACAUCCAGCCACAUCCAACGGCUGAUGCUGCAGUCUGUAGCUUACAGAUUCUGUAAGCUAGUCAAGUCCUAACUAAAUAAGGUAACUAAAACAAUUUUUCACAUCCUUCCACUAGCAUCUGCUCAAUAUAUAAUAUUUUAAUUUGCAACACACGAGUGGUUUUGAUUACGGGGAGGGUUGGCAAUUUAUAGGUUUGGGCCGGGUUUUCUCAAGAUCAGAUCCAUAUAAUCGAUAUGAGGUUCAGGUCCUGUGAAUGUUCAUCCAACUUGAGCGGGCUUGGGCUUGGGACUUCAAUAAUUUUGUUAAAUAAAUUUUUAAUUAAGUUGUAUGUUAAAAAAAUUUAAAUUAAGAUGAUUAUUAUUAUUAAACAAAAUAAAUAUUAAUUGCUCCCUUGAAUGGGCCUGAACCAGUCACCUCUAAGCAAAUAUUUGUAUUUUUUUUCUUUAUUCCUUUUUCUCUCUUUUUAUUAAUUAUUAUUGUAAAUUAAAAUUAUUUAUUUUUUAGAUAUUAAUUAUGUUUAUGCAUUGUAAUUUACACAGAAGCUUAAGACUCAUGUUUAUUAAAAAUGAUGUUAAUCCAGAAUGGAACGAGAAAUUUAACUCUUUCAAUUAAAAAUGAUUUUUUAAUUUAUAAAUUAAAGAGCCCAAACUUUUUCCAAAAGCCUUUAACCCCGAGUGAGCUUUAAAUUUUUUAGCCAUAUCCAUGAUUUUAUGAUGCUAGGUCCAACCCAUACUUUUUUGCCGACCCUAAUUAUGGGUGAUACUCUAGCUUAGGAUUUUUAUUUCAAUUCUAUUCGAAUCAAAUUAAAUAUGUAAAGGAAUGAAAUUAUUAAUUUAUUUAAUAAAUAAGCAAAUUUAUUUUGAUUCAUUAAAUAAACGAUCAAACCUAGGUUUGAGUUCACUAAUUCAAUUAUUCGUUUAAAAUUUGUUUACUAAUCAGGUCAUAAAUGAAUAGAAUAAUAAAUGACAUUUUUAACAUAAUUACUUGUUUUCCAUUAAAAUUCAAAAAUCUUGUUAAUACAUUUUCAAAGUAAAUUAGUUUUGUAAUUAUGAAAAGAUAAUAAGCCAAAAAAGAAAAUGAAAGCAAAGGCAUCAUUACUCAUUAGCCGACCCUAGCUCCACUCCUAGUUUACUUAUAUAGGAUAACGGAUUUGACUAAUUGUGAAAGUUCACUUGCAUUACUUAAGCAAUUUCUUCAUGAGCAUGUUCCUUUAUAAUAAUGCUAGUAUCUAAACCAGGCACUGGGGAUCCCUUCUCACUCGCUUCAUGCAAAUGCCCAGCAACCAUGUCUCCACCAACAUCACUGAUGUCCCCAAAAAUCAAAAUAAGAAUCCCGAUCGUGGCAGCCAAAAAUGAAACCCCAAAAGCAGUGCUCACAUUUCCACUGAUCGCUGAUGCCACAGCAAAGCCAGUACAAGUUCCUAGUGCUUUUACCCACGAGUGCCAUACAGAAAAAGCACCUUCUUUGCCAUGUGAUGUACAAUCUAGCAACAAAACUCUCCCAAAAGCAUGCAAAAGCCCUGCAGAAGUGCUUUGAAUUGCAGCAAAAAGCAGUACAUGGUGCCUCUGCCAGUUCUUUCCUUGGAGUAGAAUCCCGUACCUGAAGUCAACAGAGCUAAGAGGAAACCCAGAAAUUGCAUUCUCACAGCAUCUGCUUUGAUAACAUGUUGUAACGGAUGCAGUAGUGUCGUUGAAGAUGAUGGUAAUAUGAAGUAAAUUAUCCAUAAGUAGAGGAAAAGUAAAAAAAUAGCCCCAGUGAAAAUGCACAUUGAUGAAAAUCAUGACAUGAAAAUUACAAUCAGGCUUGUAAUUGCAUGAGGAUUUUUAAAAAGGGACAGUGAAUAUGAUUCGGGCAUAGAGGAGGUUGCGUUGGUGAUUGCCCCUGGCUCAGUGUGACAAUAUGGAGCAUGCCAACGAGCCAUUUGAGGACCCUGAAAAUGGACACAAUCCAGAGGCUAACAAAUGGGGCCUUUGUGUUCCUAAGCAUAUGGUAAGUGAAUGCUGAGAAAAUGGCAGAGCCUAAGCCACCACCAGCAGUGGCGUAUACCGAGAACCAGCCUGAGACCCCUCUUCUAGUUGGGGAUUGGCUAAGUUUAAGUGUUGGUCCAGUGUAGCCGCGAGCCAUAAGACCAAGAUGGCGAGUGUGGGAGGCUGAAGCAACAAUGUAUAAUGCAACAAUAGCUGCAAUAUAAAAUGGGAAGAUGCAUGGGGUUUUAAUGAAGCCAACAUGGAGACAAAAGAGGGAACCGAUGGCACUUGCAGCCCUAGCAAUGAGUUGUGGGUUGUAGCCAUGGUCAAGUUGCUUGGAGAUCAAGCCAAGGAAGGGACUAGCCAGAAUUAGGCCUAUAGCCCAUGAAAUUGAAGUCCAUUCCAUUGCUGAUAGAUUCAGAUUAUUCGUUGAUAUUGAUGUGUGUGUUAGUCAAUCAUACCUCCAAUAUAUGAAAAAUAUUUCAUCAUGCUAAAUAUGGACACAUUCAAAACUGACCCUCUGUCUAGUUUAACUGGCCAUGAAUGCGCUUUAUACCCGCGGUCACUCAAGUUUAAGUAAUAAUAAAUCAAGAGUAAGAGUUAAUGAAUUAAUUAAAGGAGAAUGAAUGAAACUUUAUUCCCACUAAGGUCUAAGAAGUUGUUUUUGUUCUUUGGGUUCCGAUAAAUUUUUAAUAGCAUAAUCUGUAAAUCUCUCAAUAUAAUCAUUUUGUAUAUGAAAAUUUCACAUUCACUUAAACAAUAUUUUUUUCUUGUCAAUAUUUUGAGCCAAAUGGUAAUUAAGAGUGAGAAAUUCAUUCUCCCAUAAUAAAAUUAAUAUGCAUAAUUGCAUCUUUUACGUUUUUUACUCUUUAACAGUCUUGGAAUCAAUUCGAUCUUUAAUCCAAUUUUUUGUGAAAAUUACACUCAUGUGCUUUGUAUAUAUAGAAUUUUGAUUGAAUAUUCUACUAAGUAACAAUCGAUGUAGCUAGAAAAAGAACUUACAGUUUGAUCUCUCCGAGAAUACAAGCAAUGCCCCUAGGGGUUUGUCGCCAACCUUGAUCAUCAUCAUCAUCAUCAUCAUUUUUAGAGACAAUUUCACUGAUGAUGAGAGGAAAAACAACGGGCACAACCGUUGUAACAAUGAAGUGUCCAAAUUUCAAGCUUCGAUGGCUUUUCUCGCAGCCCUGAGUAGGCCAUAUAAGCUCCCUCGGACCUCUCAAUUUUCAUUGCAGCAUCGUGUGCCUCAGGCAUGUCUUCAUUCACUUUCUGAUCCUCUACUGAUACCGAUAUUCCUUCAUCAUCACUUAGAACCUCAUGUUUUCUUUCUGCUGCCACCGCUGCUGCCAUAUUCACAUAUUAGUACCAAUUUGGAGGUUGCUUUGUGAAGUUAAAAAAAGGAGCUGAAUUGGCCAGACAUAUAUGUGUAAGUCUCAUUCUUUUUAACUUAUUUGUCUUCUCUCUUUAACGGCAAUGCCAAUUUUAGCAUCGCAUUCUGCUACAACUCAUGCUGAUCAAAGUGUUUCAUAUGAUUUCAAUUUUCCUCAUCACUUCUUUUGCACAGCAAUGAUCGAAUUCCCAGUGUAGAUUCCUUCAUCUGGAGCAAGGCGUUCUGAGCAGUGCUGCAAACAUCCAAGAUCAUAAAAGAUCCAUUUAACAGCUCAUCAACCCAUUUCUUCUUCUGGUGGCCGUUGGCUAAAGCUUGUUGAACGAGGGGCAAUUGAAGUGUUUUUUUUUUUCAACAGAAUCGCAUGAAUCUUGAAGGCAAUUUAAUUCAUGGCCUAAUGAUGAAGUAGAAACAGCUUGAGAAGUCCUUAAUCUUUACAAAUGCUCUUCAACUUCUGAAGUCUUUGAGUGCGAUCUUGUGGAAAGCUGUUUGAGCGAGUAUGGUAAGAGGCAGCCAUUGCUUUUUUUACUUUGAAUUAGAAGGUUAGAAGUUGAUUACCUUGUGCUCAAAUCUCAAUAUAUAUUGCACGAGAUGAGGGAACAAGAGGUAUGUCAUCCUCUUAAAAUAAAAAGAAACGAUAACAUGAUUUCGAGCCUGAUCUAAAUAUUGUAUCGGCUACUUUUAGGCUUAGUCUCCUCCCACACCAGCAUCCUAUCUCAGCUUUUUUAGCCACAAAUCUCACUAGUAUCUUCUCAUAAGCUAAUACUAAAUAAACAAAUGUUUCUGAGUGAUCCAUAAAAUAGGCAAUACAAGGAUGGCAUCAAUUCUGUUUCCUCUUCUAAAAUGCAAGAGACGCUAAUCCAGUUUGGCUUGGCUCCCCGCGGGAAAUAGGCAGAAUUGAUUUAUUUGAACUGGAUAUAAUAUGCAAAAUCUGCAGUGCAUGGGUAGUUAUGCCGCCAAAUUAAAGCAGGCCCAAAAAAGAUCUGCGCUGUUCAUUGCAGGCAUAUUUGGUGCCAAAUGAAUCGCUUGUUUCUUAAGAGACUGACUCCUCACACUAUAGUAACAACUAAUAACAUUCAUUGUCUGCAUUGAAAAAAAUUAACUGCAUAGGAAAACAAAUUAAAUUAAAACUCAGUUAAAUAAAAUAUUCCUAAACCCUAUAGACUUAAUUAAAAAAACUGAAAAAAAUGCAUGUUACAAUGGCCAAGGUAUCCUUCUAUAAUUGUCUACGAAGGUAGUAUUUUUUGAAUUAACCGCCCAUUACUGGGGAAUUAUGUGCCAGGGCGUUUGUCUUUACCCAUUCAAGGAAAUUCUGAAAUGUCUUGCGAGAGGAACCACCUUCUCUGAUGCUGCUCAUGGCUUUUUCCUUGAGUUCCAAAGCCCGUGCUUUAAAAUCUUGAUGACCAAGCACUUGAUCCACCUUGUUCUUAAUUUCUUCUCUUGUAAUGAUGCCACUUUCGUUUUUGUCAAACCUCAAUCCCACCUUCCAAAUAUCACAAAUGUAUUUCUCGUUCAGGAAUUGUUCAGCAAAAUAUGGCCAGCACAAGAAAGGAAUGCCAUUGCUAACACCUUCCAUGGUGGAAUUCCAACCACAAUGGCUCAGGAAACAGGCAAUAGAAGGAUGGUUAAGAACCUUCUGCUGAGGUGCCCAGCCGAUCAUCCGUCCUCGAGCAGAAACUCUCUCUUGGAAUCCGUCUGGGUAUCUAUCAUUUGCAUCAGUGGUAAUAUCUGGCCUUACAACCCAUAAAAAUGGUCUGUUGCAGAGUUCUAGUCCAAAUGCCA
This 6840-nucleotide long non-coding RNA is filed under the name Citrus x clementina. RNAcentral describes it as "Citrus clementina (C. clementina) long non-coding RNA (CCLE_LNC002806)". Lineage: Eukaryota; Viridiplantae; Streptophyta; Magnoliopsida; Sapindales; Rutaceae. The record is from RNAcentral.